CCCCAAGUUUUGGACUCAAUCCGAUAUCGAUUGGUCCAUGAAAUUGGACAAUUCAGGUUCGUAUGAAGUUCGUUAUGAAAUGGAGUGCUUGGUGUAUUGCACAGUUGUAGAGAUUCGAUUUCACUCAAAACCCGCCAAAUGACUCCUCCCACCGUAUUAUGAUGUUUCCCAAGUUUUGAACUUAAUCCGAUAUCGAUUGGUCCAUGAAAUUGGACAAUUCAGGUUCGUAUGAAGUUCGUUAUGAAAUGGAGUGCUUGGUGUAUUGCACAGUUGUAGAGAUUCGAUUUCACUCAAAACACGCCAAAUGACUCAUCCCACC
Molecule: long non-coding RNA, 319 nt
Filed under: Prunus persica (peach)
Lineage: Eukaryota; Viridiplantae; Streptophyta; Magnoliopsida; Rosales; Rosaceae
Description: long non-coding RNA (PPER_LNC005274)
Source: RNAcentral